This 460-nucleotide ribosomal RNA is filed under the name uncultured bacterium. RNAcentral describes it as "partial 16S ribosomal RNA". It matches the Rfam family "Bacterial small subunit ribosomal RNA", at positions 338 to 795 of the family's 1533-position model. The record is from RNAcentral.
CCUACGGGUGGCAGCAGUGAGGAAUAUUGGUCAAUGGACGCAAGUCUGAACCAGCCAUGCCGCGUGCAGGACGACGGUUCUAUGAGUUGUAAACUUCUUUUGUACGAGGGUAAACGCAGAUACGCGUAUCUGUCUGAAAGUAUCGUACGAAUAAGGAUCGGCUAACUCCGUGCCAGCAGCCGCGGUAAUACGGAGGAUUCAAGCGUUAUCCGGAUUUAUUGGGUUUAAAGGGUGCGUAGGCGGUCGGAUAAGUUAGAGGUGAAAUCCCGAGGCUCAACUUCGGAAUUGCCUCUGAUACUGUUCGGCUAGAGAGUAGUUGAGGUAGGCGGAAUGUGUGGUGUAGCGGUGAAAUGCAUAGAGAUCAUGCAGAACACCGAUUGCGAAGGCAGCUUACCGAGCUACUUCUGACGUUGAGGCACGAAAGCGUGGGGAGCGAACAGGAUUAGAUACCCGAGUAGUC